AUUGAACGCUGGCGGCAGGCCUAACACAUGCAAGUCGAGCGGAUGAAGGGAGCUUGCUCCUGGAUUCAGCGGCGGACGGGUGAGUAAUGCCUAGGAAUCUGCCUGGUAGUGGGGGAUAACGUCCGGAAACGGGCGCUAAUACCGCAUACGUCCUGAGGGAGAAAGUGGGGGAUCUUCGGACCUCACGCUAUCAGAUGAGCCUAGGUCGGAUUAGCUAGUUGGUGGGGUAAAGGCCUACCAAGGCGACGAUCCGUAACUGGUCUGAGAGGAUGAUCAGUCACACUGGAACUGAGACACGGUCCAGACUCCGACGGGAGGCAGCAGUGGGGAAUAUUGGACAAUGGGCGAAAGCCGGAUCCAGCCAUGCCGCGUGUGUGAAGAAGGUCUUCGGAUUGUAAAGCACUUUAAGUUGGGAGGAAGGGCAGUAAGUUAAUACCUUGCUGUUUUGACGUUACCAACAGAAUAAGCACCGGCUAACUUCGUG
RNAcentral lists this ribosomal RNA (484 nucleotides) under uncultured bacterium. RNAcentral describes it as "partial 16S ribosomal RNA". It matches the Rfam family "Bacterial small subunit ribosomal RNA", at positions 30 to 507 of the family's 1533-position model. The record is from RNAcentral.